Molecule: transfer RNA, 51 nt
Filed under: Entamoeba ecuadoriensis
Lineage: Eukaryota; Evosea; Mastigamoebida; Endamoebidae
Description: tRNA-Val
Source: RNAcentral
CACAUCACUUUUACGUAGUGAGGGUCCCCGGUUCAGACCCGGGUGGAACCA